UACUCAUGGUAUCCCAGGCAUCUGGUAUGUGU
This 32-nucleotide non-coding RNA is filed under the name Mus musculus (house mouse). Lineage: Eukaryota; Metazoa; Chordata; Mammalia; Rodentia; Muridae. The record is from RNAcentral.